AUACGUAGGACCCGAGCGUUGUCCGGAUUUACUGGGUAUAAAGGGUGCGCAGGCGGAUCCGUGCGUCGAAGGUUAAAGACCAGAGCUCAACUCUGGGAGUGCCCUCGAUACGGCGGAUCUUGAGUACGAGAGAGGAUAGUAGAAUUCCUGGUGUAGCGGUGAAAUGCGUAGAUAUCAGGAGGAAUACCAGUGGCGAAGGCGGCUAUCUGGCUCGUAACUGACGCUCAGGCACGAAAGCGUGGGGAUC
Molecule: ribosomal RNA, 247 nt
Filed under: uncultured bacterium
Lineage: Bacteria
Description: partial 16S ribosomal RNA
Rfam family: Bacterial small subunit ribosomal RNA
Source: RNAcentral